This 424-nucleotide ribosomal RNA is filed under the name uncultured bacterium. RNAcentral's name for it is "bacterial SSU rRNA". It matches the Rfam family "Bacterial small subunit ribosomal RNA", at positions 356 to 796 of the family's 1533-position model. The record is from RNAcentral.
GGGGAAUUUUCCGCAAUGGGGGCAACCCUGACGGAGCAACGCCGCGUGCGGGACGACGCCUCUUGGGGUGUAAACCGCUUUUGCCGAGGAAGAGAACGGACGGUACUCGGCGAAUCAGGACCGGCUAACUACGUGCCAGCAGCCGCGGUAAUACGUAGGGUCCGAGCGUUGUCCGGAGUGACUGGGCGUAAAGCGCGCGCAGGCGGCUCGUGAGGCGGCAUGUGAAAGCCCCGUGCUCAACGCGGGAGGGUCAUGGCGAACCGACGAGCUUGAGGCCGGUAGAGGUGGGUGGAACUCCUGGUGGAGUGGUGAAAUGCGUAGAGAUCAGGAAGAACACCCGUGGCGAAGGCGGCCCACUGGGCCGGUACUGACGCUGAGGCGCGAAGGCGUGGGGAGCGAAAGGGAUUAGAUACCCCUGUAGUCA